UACAGGGUAUGUGGAAAAAAUCACAUGCAG
RNAcentral lists this non-coding RNA (30 nucleotides) under Mus musculus (house mouse). The record is from RNAcentral. Lineage: Eukaryota; Metazoa; Chordata; Mammalia; Rodentia; Muridae.